Non-coding RNA from Cherax quadricarinatus, 658 nucleotides. The record is from RefSeq and is a predicted model, not a curated record. Lineage: Eukaryota; Metazoa; Arthropoda; Malacostraca; Decapoda; Parastacidae.
AGUUAGCAUGUCGUGGCAUUGGAGAAGGCACCUAAAAUUAAAUUAGCAGGCUCUCCAAUGGACAAGACAAAUGAUCAAGAUAUGUUGAACUGUCAAGACAACCUGAUAAUUCUCAGUGUCACUGAGUGGCAGAUUAUCUUUAUCUUGUACUAUCUAGAAUUUUUAUGAUGCCCACUCAAACAAUUUUGCCUUUCACUGAUAUGAACACAUUUAACUGUCUACCUGUGUUAAGGACUGUUCAAGGUGCUGAACAUAAUAGGAACUCUCCUAGGUAGUAGGUUGGUAGACAGCAACCACCUAGGGAGGUACUACUGUCCUGCCAAGGUUGGUCCCACAGUACUACAGCUCUAAAGCCAGGGCCGGUUCCGUAGUUUUACGCCAUGAACUCAGCUCACUCAGGAGUUGACAAAACAACAUGGAUAACAUUAUCUGCAAACUGCGUUAUAAUUGUAUCAUUAAACUCUGGUUGAGGAAGAUCAUUCACAUAAAUGUUGAAUAGAAUUGGACUAAGACAAGAACCUUGUGGGACACCAGCUGUCAGUAUAAAAGGCUCUGUUGUCUUUCCAUGAAAGGUAGGAAUGAUUUUUCUUUCAGUUAAGAAGUAAUAUAUAAAUCUGAGAAAUGUCAAGUUAUGGUCAGGUAGGUCAAUAAGUUUGUA